UGGUAUUAUCCCCACUUUACAGAGAAAGAUAUUGAGGUCAGAGGGAUGGAGUAUUUACCCAUAAUUACACAACUGGUAAAGGGAGCUAGGAUUUUGAGAGUUUUGACCAUUGUAUGAACAUGCUGGCAAAUGCUGAGAUGAAAUUAGCAUUUUUAUAGAUGACUGAAAUACUUCAUACCUCCUUGGAUUUCCACUGAAUUCCUUUCCGGAACAAUUUUUAGACAUAUGCAGAGCAAUGGUAGAAUUACAGUAAGAGGUAAAGUUGGUGUUUGUGUUUUAGUCUUUAGACCAACAAAAGACUUUUUGUGUUUUUUUCCUAAGUGACUUGGCAGACUUUUUGGACCUAAUCAAUGAAAGGGCAUAUUUGGAGGGAACUUAGAAUCCCCCACCUUGUACUUACAACCAUAUGUAGUAUGAUUCAGAGGCAACAAGCAGUGGCAGGCCUCAGAUGCUGAAAUAAUCAUGGAAACUGGCAACAAUCCCCCCCCCCAUUUCUAUCAUGUUCAGGGAUGAUCAGGGGCAUGUUACUUGUCCUCUCUGUAUCUCAGUUUUCCUUUCCAUACAAUAAGAAUAGGAAUGGUACACCACAGGACUGGAUGCAGAUUAAAUGAAUGUAUUUCUCUGUAAAGUGCUUAUAACAGGCUUGGGACAUAGUGUUAUAAAAGUGUCAUUUCUUUUAUUUCAAAUAGAAUCAGCUGCUAAAUAGAAUUAUUUCAUCCAUCCUUCCUUUUUAUUAACAAUCACUUUAGGUUUAAAAGCUUAAUAUGUAAGGCAACAUAGCAUAGUGGCUUGAGUGUGACUUAGAGAGCUUCCAAAGCACUGAGUUUUGACAUCUAUUAAGUGGAAGUAAUAAAUGGCAUUUGACUUAUAGAAUUAAUUGUUCAAAUGAGGGCUAAAUAAAUUAAUAUGUUCAAAGGACUUAGAACAAGUUCUGGCGCACACACAAAGUCUAGUAAAUAUUAAC
RNAcentral lists this long non-coding RNA (964 nucleotides) under Marmota monax (woodchuck). The record is from RNAcentral. Lineage: Eukaryota; Metazoa; Chordata; Mammalia; Rodentia; Sciuridae.